ACGGACCCAAAAUUACUGGUUCAAGCAUGGUUUUCGAAUUUUUUCAUGCAUCAAAACUCGUUAAGACUAGAUGGUGUAUCCCUACAUAGCGGGUGGGACCCACGGCGAAUGGUUCAUCAAGUCUUCAAAAAAGAAUAUAUACGAUUGCAUUGCAUAUACUAACGGAUGCGAUCAUGCCAGCACUAAUGCACCGGAUCCCAUCAGAACUCCGCAGUCAAGCGUGCUUGGGCGAGAGUAGUACUAGGAUGGGUGACCUCCCGUGAAGUCCUCGUGUUGCAUCCCUCUUUUAUGUUUAACCUUUUU
RNAcentral lists this ribosomal RNA (303 nucleotides) under Arabidopsis thaliana (thale cress). The record is from RNAcentral. Lineage: Eukaryota; Viridiplantae; Streptophyta; Magnoliopsida; Brassicales; Brassicaceae.